GUGCCAGCAGCCGCGGUAAUACGUAGGUCCCGAGCGUUGUCCGGAUUUAUUGGGCGUAAAGCGAGCGCAGGCGGUUAGAUAAGUCUGAAGUUAAAGGCUGUGGCUUAACCAUAGUACGCUUUGGAAACUGUUUAACUUGAGUGCAAGAGGGGAGAGUGGAAUUCCAUGUGUAGCGGUGAAAUGCGUAGAUAUAUGGAGGAACACCGGUGGCGAAAGCGGCUCUCUGGCUUGUAACUGACGCUGAGGCUCGAAAGCGUGGGGAGCAA
RNAcentral lists this ribosomal RNA (266 nucleotides) under uncultured Streptococcaceae bacterium. RNAcentral's name for it is "partial 16S ribosomal RNA". It matches the Rfam family "Bacterial small subunit ribosomal RNA", at positions 505 to 771 of the family's 1533-position model. Lineage: Bacteria; Bacillati; Bacillota; Bacilli; Lactobacillales; Streptococcaceae. The record is from RNAcentral.